UCGAGGGGCAGCAGGAUCUAGCAAUAGAUUGCUGGCGACCGGCGCACGGGUGAGUAACACGUAUCCAACCUGCCGAUAACUCGGGGAUAGCCUUUCGAAAGAAAGAUUAAUACCCGAUGGUAUAAUCAGACCGCAUGGUUUGAUUAUUAAAGAAUUUCGGUUAUCGAUGGGGAUGCGUUCCAUUAGGCAGUUGGUGAGGUAACGGCUCACCAAACCUUCGAUGGAUAGGGGUUCUGAGAGGAAGGUCCCCCACAUUGGAACUGAGACACGGUCCAAACUCCUACGGGAGGCAGCAGUGAGGAAUAUUGGUCAAUGGACGGGAGUCUGAACCAGCCAAGUAGCGUGAAGGAUGACUGCCCUAUGGGUUGUAAACUUCUUUUAUAUGGGAAUAAAGUUUUCCACGUGUGGAAUUUUGUAUGUACCAUAUGAAUAAGGAUCGGCUAACUCCGUGCCAGCAGCCGCGGUAAUACGGAGGAUCCGAGCGUUAUCCGGAUUUAUUGGGUUUAAAGGGAGCGUAGGUGGACAGUUAAGUCAGUUGUGAAAGUUUGCGGCUCAACCGUAAAAUUGCAGUUGAUACUGGCUGUCUUGAGUACAGUAGAGGUGGGCGGAAUUCGUGGUGUAGCGGUGAAAUGCUUAGAUAUCACGAAGAACUCCGAUUGCGAAGGCAGCUCACUGGACUGCAACUGACACUGAUGCUCGAAAGUGUGGGUAUCAAAC
This 717-nucleotide ribosomal RNA is filed under the name uncultured bacterium. RNAcentral's name for it is "bacterial SSU rRNA". It matches the Rfam family "Bacterial small subunit ribosomal RNA", at positions 62 to 773 of the family's 1533-position model. The record is from RNAcentral.